Molecule: ribosomal RNA, 306 nt
Filed under: Triticum aestivum (bread wheat)
Lineage: Eukaryota; Viridiplantae; Streptophyta; Magnoliopsida; Poales; Poaceae
Description: partial small subunit ribosomal RNA
Source: RNAcentral
UACCUACAGCUACGGCUACGAAGAGACCGACGAUGACUCCUACCGUCACUAGGAAAGUGGGUGGAUUUUAGUUUCUGCCACCACCCUUUCGUCGACCUCCUUUGUUCUUUCGCGUCAUUGAUGAAAGGAUACCAUGAACAACGCACGAACAACGACUAACGUGUGGGAUACCACGAACUACGGCUAACGUUACCGUUGCGAAGUAGAGGCGUCCGCUAGGUUCGACACGAGCAGUAGAUGUGAUCACAAUUUUGAUAUAAGUCCGCACUGAUAUACGUACGGUAAACACAUUAUCUUAUAAAUAUC